RNAcentral lists this long non-coding RNA (1846 nucleotides) under Pelobates cultripes (western spadefoot toad). The record is from RNAcentral. Lineage: Eukaryota; Metazoa; Chordata; Amphibia; Anura; Pelobatidae.
UAUGAAUAGUCAAUAUUAUUAACAUGAUACUAAUUAUAUAUGAUAAUAUAAUAGUAAUUUAUAAGUGGAUAGUGUGUAUAAGUAUAUACAAUUAUGUAUACAUUUGUCUCUGGGUUUGUAUUCCAUUCCCCCAUUUUUUUUCUGUGAGACCUCAUGCCUUAUCACUUGUCUUGUUUACAUAACGCAUUCCUUAGCUCAGACUUGGAUGAAUAGAGUGAUAGAAAGAAAUCUUGUGUCUGUCUUAGCCUUGUAGUACAAAAUAGAAUCACCUCUGUUCUGAGAGUGACUGGCAGUAUACACUUUUAAUUUCUGUCUUAAUACAAAAUGUCUACCGAUAUAAAUAUACUGACAGAUCAUUGAGGAUACCAGAAGCUGCAUCAGGUGUAAUAGAAUGUAUGCUCCAGUAAGCUAAGUCAUCUGAAUAUGCUGCAGCCUGUAUAAAAAGAAUAUCAAUAUCAUCAGUAUGAGGGGCUCUAUGCACUGCAGUUAAGAUCUGGUAACGAGAAAUAGUACUGUAAUUUGGCCAUAAGGGAAAAGAGGCACCAAAUCUGCAAAAUCAUUACCAUCCCUGACAAUUGAGUGAUCUGUAUCAUGGCCCUUGCACUUCACAAUAGCUAAAGAUCUAGGUAACCGUAUGGCCCUCAAUAAUCCAUCAAUUAAUGCAAAAUGAGAAACCGUUCGACCAUCAGCUGCAACAAAGCCUCUAGCCUGUCAAAUGACACCAAAAUAAUGAACCACUCCAAAGGCGUAUCUCGAAUCGGUAUUCUGGCCCAGACUUAAUAUCUGGCAUAUACCUUUAAAUCUAGCUUUCUGACAUGUCUAAACUCUCCUUCACCUCAUGCUUACAAUGGAACUAGUGAUUGGGGUUUGGAGGGAACUAUUUGCCAGCUUUUUACCCUGUGACGAUGGCCCCUUUAAUUUAUUGUGGAUGAGAGACUCUAUUUGUGGCUAUUGGGACUUUAAACAAUUGUUCUUCGAACUCCCGAACAGUUGAAGUGGCUGCCAUUCGACGUGGUGGCGGCCAUCUUGUUCACAUGGACCAAAACCACUAUUAGACUUCAGGGGGACUUAGCCGCGAAAGCCCUGGAACUAUUUUCGGCAUGAAAACCUUGUGGUUCACGGUCAGAAGACAUGAAUGGACUUUAUAUCAAGGAACCUAGCCAUAUCAUUCCUGAGUUCAUCCAUCUGCUGCGCUCAGAACUGGGCUACAUAAUGAACGCUGGAAUGGAAAAUAUGUCUGUUAAAGUAUUAAAGUUAUGUAAUUUUAUACAGUUUUAUGGGUUGUAAUAAAACGUGGGAUUUUGGGCACUUGGAGAUAAUUACAUUGUCCCAACCGUUGGACUCAUUAUCUCCAAGCUGGGUGGUAACAAUUUCAAAGGAUACAUUGUAUUACUAUUAGUCAACUGCUCAUAUUGUCACUGUAUCCCAUCAGGUCCAGAGGGGGCUGUCCCUGGAAUAGUGAUGCCUGUGUGCCAUUAAAGCCAGUUCGUUUUACCCUCAAUUCGCAGCCUCGACUCGUGGUGUAGGGAUCCGGGAAUCCUAGCUUUACUAUAGCUAGUGGGAUAUUCUACACUUACAGGUUUCUACUGUUUGAAGCAGAGUUCGACUCUCCACCUUCGGGAACCAGGACAUCAAAGCGAUCCAAACUCCUGCUAGACCGGAGGCAAUCGUAACAUGUUCCUAUCUUGUUAUAAAAAUGUUUUUUUGGGUUUUUUUUUAAAGUGCAGUACCUCUUGACUACCUGUACCAAAUGUUUAAUAUGAUAUGUAAUACUGAACAAGUCACUGUUUACGCCUGUACUAAGCUCUGCACUCAAAAAUAAAGAAUAAAAAAAAUUAAAAUCUGC